Molecule: ribosomal RNA, 478 nt
Filed under: uncultured bacterium
Lineage: Bacteria
Description: partial 16S ribosomal RNA
Rfam family: Bacterial small subunit ribosomal RNA
Source: RNAcentral
GAUGAACGCUGGCGGCGUGCUUAACACAUGCAAGUCGAACGGGAAACCUUUUAUUGAAGCUUCGGCAGAUUUAGCUGGUUUCUAGUGGCGGACGGGUGAGUAACGCGUGGGUAACCUGCCUUAUACAGGGGGAUAACAACCAGAAAUGGUUGCUAAUACCGCAUAAGCGCACAGGACCGCAUGGUCCGGUGUGAAAAACUCCGGUGGUAUAAGAUGGACCCGCGUUGGAUUAGCUAGUUGGCAGGGUAACGGCCUACCAAGGCGACGAUCCAUAGCCGGCCUGAAAGGGUGAACGGCCACAUUGGGACUGAGACACGGCCCAGACUCCUACGGGAGGCAGCAGUGGGGAAUAUUACACAAUGGGGGAAACCCUGAUGCAGCGGCGCCGCGUGAAGGAAGAAGUAUAUCGGUAUGUAAAAUUCUAUCAGCAGGGAAGAUAGUGACGGUACCUGACUAAGAAGCCACGGCUAACUACGUG